GACGAACGCUGGCGGCGUGCUUAACACAUGCAAGUCGAACGGAAAGGCCCUGCUUUUGUGGGUUUCUCGAGUGGCGAACGGGUGAGUAACACGGGAGUGACCUGCCCUUGACUUUGGGAUAACUUCAGGAAACUGGGGCUAAUACCGGAAAGGAGCUCCUGCUGCAUGGAGGGGGUUGGAAAGUUUCGGCGGUUGGGGCUGGGCUGGCGGCUUAUCAGCUUGUUGGUGGGGUAGUGGGUUACCAAGGCUUUGACGGGUAGCCGGCCUGAGAGGGUGACCGGCCACAUUGGGACAGUGCUACGGCCGAGAGUCCUACGGGAGGCAGCAGUGGGGAAUAUUGCACAAUGGAGGGAAGCCUGAUGCAGCAACGCCGCGUGCGGGAUGACGGCCUUCGGGUUGUAAACCGCUUUCGCCUGUGACGAAGCGUGAGUGACGGUAAUGGGUAAAGAAGCACCGGCUAACUACGUG
Molecule: ribosomal RNA, 468 nt
Filed under: uncultured bacterium
Lineage: Bacteria
Description: partial 16S ribosomal RNA
Rfam family: Bacterial small subunit ribosomal RNA
Source: RNAcentral